Molecule: long non-coding RNA, 274 nt
Filed under: Bos taurus (domestic cattle)
Lineage: Eukaryota; Metazoa; Chordata; Mammalia; Artiodactyla; Bovidae
Description: long non-coding RNA NONBTAT006778
Source: RNAcentral
UCUAUUGAGUCAUAUUUUUUCAGGGGAAGCAAGCUACCAUCAGUAUAUCAUUUGAUAGUAUUUCAUAGAACUUAAAUUUUUACAUAUUGCUCAAAUUCACCCAAAUAAGUAUGUUUAUAAACUGGGUGCCAAACUUUUGGCAGUAAUGUACAGCUAAGUACAACUCACAUACUAUUUAUAGACUUUCAUUUCUUUUCAAUCCCCUGAUGUAAACACAGUUGGAAACAUUAUAGCUACCUAGGGACACAAAAGAUGCACUAAAAGAAAUCAUGAU